AAAAGUAACUGAAAAUAAAUGUGUAAAUUUUGAUUUGAUUCUGGUACAACUAAUUAGAAGCCAGAUUGUAGAUGUAAUUUGCUGCUGAAGUUGCAAUUCCAGCCUUGAACAUCUACAAGGAAUACUAAUAAUUUAUUAGACCAUUUAUAAACAAGUUUUUUUGAGCUAUGAAUGUGGGCAAACAGCUUUUCCUGCAGCUGAUGUUACUGCUUCUUUUAGGCUGGAGAAGCUUUGAUCCAAGAUAGCUGUCUCAGUAGCCUUUUCGGUUGAAUGCCUCUUAUCCAUAACCCUCAGGUUUCAUACCACUUCAUGUCCUUUACCAUUUAAUCUUUCCCCAAAUACAGUACUGCCUUCCCCAACUCCUCUAAAAAAAUCGCAUUAUUAAUGCUUUAUAUAUGUUUUGUGAUGAAAGUUAUUUGGGUUAUAUUUAUAUACUAAUUUUAUUGCUUGAUUCUUUCCAUAACGAAGCUCACAGUCUUUUCAGUAGCUCUGUUUAAAGUCUGGCAGCUUCUGUUUUAUUGCAAUAAGGCAUCCAAUAAUGUUGGAUACUAACUAUUCAGCAAGGACAACCUACACUGCCAAACUUCUUCCCAAAAUGUUAUGAUACUUCAGGUGUCAUCAAUUCAGGUGGCACUAUCUUAUAUACAACUACCAAAAUGAAAAAGCACAAUCAGAAUAUGGUUAUCAGUCCUACUGAAGGCCCAGAGAAAUCAAGCAUUACUGUACUCACACUCACAAAGUGGAUGUAGACAUGUUAGCAGGUAAUACCUUUCUUUUUAUUGAACCUGUUUUUUUUUGUUGUUGUUUGUUUUUUGUUGUUGUUGUUAUGUCUCCAGCCACCAGAAAACUACAUUACCUGCUUUUCUUGCAAUUACCAAGUCUGAAUACUUAUCCUUAACUAUGAUAUAUAUAUAUAUAUAUUUCAGGCUGGCGUAAGUGAUGCUAACAUUUACAGACUGAGAGAUCUUUAAAUAAGCUAUUAUUUUAUACACAACAGCUGGAGAACUGAGAGUCCUUGCAAGAUUGUUUCAGUUAUUCUUAGCUUGUAUAGUAAUCAUACACAAAGCAUCAUAUUGCUCCAGUCUUAUUGAGAACCCUGCCUUUACAGACAAAUACAAACACUGUGACACGCAAAAAAGCCUACGAGGUCAAAAUUACAUAAAUGCUUGAAAUAAAAACAGAGGCAGCAAGGAGACAGCAUAAAUAUGUAAUGAAUUCUGUUGGUUUAUUAGAUUUUUUUAAAUGGAGGAAGAAAUAAUGUCUGUAAACAAAUGUUGGCUUUUGGCUUUUGAUAUUGUGAAUUCAGGAAUGUCUGAUAGAGUCAUCUUUGAUGCGACUGGUGCUUUUAUGUAUAUAGUCAGUGUGGGAAGUAUUUUCUCUUGGUGCAGCAAGUCUGUAGAAAGAAAUGUUCAAGGAAAUAUUUUUAAAUACAGCUUUUAAAAAUUGUAAUGUUUAAUUAAUAAUUUUCUCCUAAAAAAUUGUCUGAGCUAAAUGCAAGAAAAAUAAAACAAAACAAAACAAAAAAAAAAAAAGAAUUAAGAAAAGAAUUCUUACUCAGAUUAUUUUGAUGGGAACCUGAAUAAGAAUAGAUUUUUCUAAUAUAUUUCUAAGGCAGGUCCUUAAGAAUCGUCAUGGAUUAGACAUCUGAGUUACUGUGUAGCCUCUUUACUGAUCCUGUCUGUCUUAAAUUAUAAUGCUAGAAAGAUAAGUAUGAUACCAUUUACAACUUCAUGGUGUAUUUUAAUACCUGACAUGUUCUAGUAUCAGUGAAAGUAAAUUUGGUACUGAAAAAUAAAAUUGCAUAUUCUUUGCCUUAGGCUUAGUCUACAUCAGGAAGAUAGUGCAUCAAGAAAUUUUUUGGCAAUUACAAAAAAUAACUGAUUCAGUUCCACUCUUCCUUUGCCCCGAUCCUUAAAGGAAAGAGCUGGUAGGCACAGUAAUCUGUUUUUGUAACUAAUAACCUUCAUUUCUAUCAAAAAUGGCUUUCGGGCAUUUUAAACAAAAAUAUUACUAACUCUCUCAGAUGACGGACCCAGUGACUUUAACACCAAAGGCAUUAUCCUAAAUUUACAGCCAAGAACUAGAGCUCUAACUGUGAGAACCAUGACAGUAUCACUUUAUACUGUCAGUUAACUCUUUCUGUAUGUACCAUAAUACCAACAAAUUGCAGUUCUUCAGCUGUUAUUAAAGAAUUUUCAAGUAGUUUUCUGCAACAGGUCCUCAAUAAUCUCAUGACACAGCACUUCAGAAACUGAAAGCAAUGGAAGGACUGUUAAGAUGAAAAAUAAAUAGAUGAACUGGGAAGUCAUUAACAUCAACAAAACUUAUCUUCCUGGCUUCACCAUGUGGUCAACAGUUGGAUGUGCAAGUGGAUACUGGUGAUGAGUGAUGUUCCUCAGGAGUCAAUAUCGGAGCUGACACUAUUUAACUUCUUUGUUGGUGACAUGGACAGUAGGAUUGACUGCACCUUCAGCAAGUUUUCUGAUGACACCAAGCUACAUGUUGUAGUCAAUAUACUGGAGGGAAAAGAUGCCAUACAGAGAAACCUUGAUAGGCUUGAGAGGCUGAACAGCCCCAGCUCUUCCAGCCUGUUCUCCUUCCAUCCUUUGGAUCAUUUUUGUGGCUCUCCUCUGGAUGUGCUCCAAUAAGUCCACACCUCUCAAGUACUAAGGACUUCACACCUGGAUGCAAUACUCCAGCACUCACUUCUACUCUUUAAAGACGACUGACAGAACAUCAUGCAAAUUUGAGUGUCAGUGACAAGCAGGGCAAGACAGUGUGAAAACUGGUGCAGGCAAGGAAACUGAAAUAACGGUCCAGAAUUAUACUUUCUCUUUUCAUUUAAAAUCUGCACACUUUAAGCAUCUGUAUACAAUGAGUGGAUUCCACAGUGACAUUCACAUUAACAUAGGAGGAUACAAAGAAAGUGAAUCAUAGAAUCAUAGAAUCGCUAAGGUUGGAAAAGACCCACAGGAUCAUCCAGUCCAACCAUGAAGCCAUGAUAUUUUCAGUGGAGCACAGUGCCAGAACCAGAGGAAAUGGGCACAAAGUGGAAAACAAUAGAUUCUAAGUGUAAAGAAAAUCAGGAAAGGAUUCUGUAGCUUUCUUUAUAAUAUUUAAGAAACCUUAAGUACUUGAUCAAGUUACUUUUUUUUUAAUCACAUUUAACCAUUAAAAGAUUAAUUAUUUUUAUUACUACUCCAGUUGAAAC
Long non-coding RNA from Gallus gallus (chicken), 3211 nucleotides. Lineage: Eukaryota; Metazoa; Chordata; Aves; Galliformes; Phasianidae. The record is from Ensembl.